Molecule: ribosomal RNA, 373 nt
Filed under: uncultured organism
Description: partial 16S ribosomal RNA
Rfam family: Bacterial small subunit ribosomal RNA
Source: RNAcentral
GUAGGUGGCAAGCGUUGUCCGGAAUUAUUGGGCGUAAAGCGCGCGCAGGCGGUUCUUUAAGUCUGAUGUGAAAGCCCACGGCUCAACCGUGGAGGGUCAUUGGAAACUGGAGAACUUGAGUACAGAAGAGGAAAGCGGGAUUCCACGUGUAGCGGUGAAAUGCGUAGAGAUGUGGAGGAACACCAGUGGCGAAGGCGGCUUUCUGGUCUGUAACUGACGCUGAGGCGCGAAAGCGUGGGGAGCAAACAGGGAUUAGAUACCCUGGUAGUCCACGCCGUAAACGAUGAGUGCUAAGUGUUAGGGGGUUUCCGCCCCCUUAGUGCUGCAGCUAACGCAUUAAGCACUCCGCCUGGGGAGUACGGCCGCAAGGCUG